RNAcentral lists this ribosomal RNA (513 nucleotides) under uncultured bacterium. RNAcentral describes it as "bacterial SSU rRNA". It matches the Rfam family "Bacterial small subunit ribosomal RNA", at positions 28 to 528 of the family's 1533-position model. The record is from RNAcentral.
GACGAACGCUGGCGGCGUGGAUUAGGCAUGCAAGUCGGACGGUAGGGCUUUAUCGUAAGAUAGAGUUUGAGGGUGGCGAACGGGUGAGUAACACGUAGGAAUCUACCCUUAAGACGGGGACAACCCAGGGAAACUUGGGCUAAUACCGGAUGAGAGUGCGAGAGAUUGCAUUUAAAAGGAUGGCGAAAGUUGUCGCUUAGGGAUGAGCCUGCGGUCUAUUAGUUAGUUGGUGAGGUAAGAGCUCACCAAGGCGAUGAUAGAUAGGCGGCCUUAACGGGUGGUCGCCCACACUGGGAUUGAGACACGGCCCAGACUCCUACGGGAGGCAGCAGUGGGGAAUUUUGGACAAUGGGCGAAAGCCUGAUCCAGCCAUUCCGCGUGCAGGAUGAAGGCCCUCGGGUUGUAAACUGCUUUUGUACGGACGAAAAGGCUCUUGCUAAUACCAGGAGUCCAUGACGGUACCGUAAGAAUAAGCACCGGCUAACUACGUGCCAGCAGCCGCGGUAAUAGUGU